This 851-nucleotide ribosomal RNA is filed under the name uncultured archaeon. RNAcentral's name for it is "bacterial SSU rRNA". It matches the Rfam family "Archaeal small subunit ribosomal RNA", at positions 52 to 911 of the family's 1478-position model. The record is from RNAcentral.
UGCGAGUCAACAUAGCAAUAUGUGGCAUACGGSUCAGUAACACGUAGUCAACAUGCCCAGGGGACGUGGAUAACCUCGGGAAACUGAGGAUAAACCGCGAUAAGUCACUACUUCUGGAAUGGGUAAUGACUUAAAUCUAUAUGGCCCCUGGAUUGGACUGCGGCCGAUCAGGCUGUUGGUGAGGUAAUGGCCCACCAAACCUGUAACCGGUACGGGCUCUGAGAGGAGGAGCCCGGAGAUGGGCACUGAGACAAGGGCCCAGGCCCUAUGGGGCGCAGCAGGCGCGAAACCUCUGCAAUAGGCGAAAGCCUGACAGGGUUACUCUGAGUGAUUUCCGUUAAGGAGAUCUUUUGGCACCUCUAAAAAUGGUGCAGAAUAAGGGGUGGGCAAGUCUGGUGUCAGCCGCCGCGGUAAUACCAGCACCCCGAGUGGUCGGGACGUUUAUUGGGCCUAAAGCAUCCGUAGCCGGUUCUGCAAGUCUUCCGUUAAAUCCACCUGCUUAACAGAUGGGCCGCGGAAGAUACUAUAGAGCUAGGAGGCGGGAGAGGCAAGCGGUACUCGAUGGGUAGGGGUAAAAUCCGUUGAUCCAUUGAAGACCACCAGUGGCGAAGGCGGCUUGCCAGAACGCGCUCGACGGUGAGGGAUGAAAGCUGGGGGAGCAAACCGGAUUAGAUACCCGGGUAGUCCCAGCUGUAAACGAUGCAGACUCGGUGAUGAAUUGGCUUUAUGCCUAUUCAGUGCCGCAGGGAAGCCGUUAAGUUUGCCGCCUGGGGAGUACGGUCGCAAGACUGAAACUUAAAGGAAUUGGCGGGGGAGCACCACAACGGGUGAAGCCUGCGGUUCAAUUGGUC